AGCUCCAAUAGCGUAUAUUAAAGUUGUUGCAGUUAAAACGCUCGUAGUUGAAUCUCGGGUCGGAGGGCAGCUGCGGGUCAAAGACCUUAGCGGAGGCCGCCGGCUGAUAUUUCCGGAGGGGUCCGUGUGGCCUUAGUUGGCUGUGCGGAGAUGCCGCUCCGGACGUUUACUUUGAAAAAAUUAGAGUGUUCAAAGCAGGCGUUUUCGCUGUGAAUACAUUAGCAUGGAAUAAUGGAACAGGACUUUGGUCGUGUUUUGUUGGUUUUAAUGGCCGAAGUAAUGAUUAAUAGGGAUAGUUGGGGGCAUUCGUAUUUCGAUGUCAGAGGUGAAAUUCUUGGAUUUUCGAAAGACGAACUACUGCGAAAGCAUCUGCCAAGGAUGUUUUCAUUAAUCAAGAACG
This 400-nucleotide ribosomal RNA is filed under the name phytoplankton environmental sample. RNAcentral describes it as "partial small subunit ribosomal RNA". It matches the Rfam family "Eukaryotic small subunit ribosomal RNA", at positions 587 to 985 of the family's 1831-position model. The record is from RNAcentral.